This 464-nucleotide ribosomal RNA is filed under the name uncultured bacterium. RNAcentral describes it as "partial 16S ribosomal RNA". It matches the Rfam family "Bacterial small subunit ribosomal RNA", at positions 338 to 795 of the family's 1533-position model. The record is from RNAcentral.
CCUACGGGGGGCUGCAGUAGGGAAUUUUCGUCAAUGGGCGCAAGCCUGAACGAGCAAUGCCGCGUGAACGAGGAAGGUCUUCGGAUCGUAAAGUUCUGUUGAAGGGGAAAAAGAGCGGAGAGAGGAAAUGCUUUCUGAUUGAUAUUACCCUUCGAGGAAGUCACGGCUAACUACGUGCCAUCAGCCGCGGUAAUACGUAGGUGGCGAGCGUUAUCCGGAAUGAUGGGGCGUAAAGGGUGCGUAGGCGGCCUGCUAAGUCUGGAGUGAAAGGUACCGGCUCAACCGGUACAGGCUCUGGAAACUGGCGGGCUAGAGAGCAGGAGAGGGCGGUGGAACUCAAUGGGUAGCGGUAAAAUGCGUAGAUAUAUGGAAGAACACCAGUGGCGAAGGCGGCCGCCUGGCCUGUUACUGACGCUGAGGCACGAAAGCGUGGGGAGCAAAUAGGAUUAGAUACCCCAGUAGUC